UACGUAGGGUGCAAGCGUUAAUCGGAAUUACUGGGCGUAAAGCGUGCGCAGGCGGUUGUGUAAGUCUGUCGUGAAAUCCCUGGGCUCAACCUGGGAAUUGCGAUGGAGACUGCACGGCUAGAGUGUGUCAGAGGGGGGUAGAAUUCCACGUGUAGCAGUGAAAUGCGUAGAUAUGUGGAGGAACACCGAUGGCGAAGGCAGCCCCCUGGGAUAACACUGACGCUCAUGCACGAAAGCGUGGGGAGCAAACAGG
RNAcentral lists this ribosomal RNA (253 nucleotides) under uncultured bacterium. Its description in RNAcentral is "partial 16S ribosomal RNA". It matches the Rfam family "Bacterial small subunit ribosomal RNA", at positions 524 to 776 of the family's 1533-position model. The record is from RNAcentral.